RNAcentral lists this transfer RNA (76 nucleotides) under Chloroleucon dumosum. Its description in RNAcentral is "partial tRNA-His". The record is from RNAcentral. Lineage: Eukaryota; Viridiplantae; Streptophyta; Magnoliopsida; Fabales; Fabaceae.
AUGGAAAUCUCUGUAAUUUAGAUAGAUAGGGCGGAUGUACCCAAGUGGAUCAGGGCAGGGGAUUGUGAAUCCCCCA